GAGCGUCAUUUCAACCCUCGACCUCCCCUUGGGGAGGUCGGCGUUGGGGACCGGCAGCACACCGCCGGCCCUGAAAUGGAGUGGCGGCCCGUCCGCGGCGACCUCUGCGUAGUAAUACAGCUCGCACCGGAACCCCGACGCGGCCACGCCGUAAAACACCCAACUUCUGAACGUUGACCUCGAAUCAGGUAGGCUACCCGCUGAACUUAA
RNAcentral lists this unclassified non-coding RNA (210 nucleotides) under Beauveria bassiana. Its description in RNAcentral is "ITS2". The record is from RNAcentral. Lineage: Eukaryota; Fungi; Ascomycota; Sordariomycetes; Hypocreales; Cordycipitaceae.